Molecule: ribosomal RNA, 806 nt
Filed under: uncultured bacterium
Lineage: Bacteria
Description: bacterial SSU rRNA
Rfam family: Bacterial small subunit ribosomal RNA
Source: RNAcentral
AGAGUUUGAUCCNGGCUCAGGAUGAACGCUGGCGGCGUGCCUAAUACAUGCAAGUCGAGCGAAUGGAUUGAGAGCUUGCUCUCAAGAAGUUAGCGGCGGACGGGUGAGUAACACGUGGGUAACCUGCCCAUAAGACUGGGAUAACUCCGGGAAACCGGAGCUAAUACCGGAUAAUUCUUUUCUACACAUGUAGAAAAGCUGAAAGAUGGCUUCGGCUGUCACUUAUGGAUGGACCCGCGUCGCAUUAGCUAGUUGGUGAGGUAACGGCUCACCAAGGCAACGAUGCGUAGCCGACCUGAGAGGGUGAUCGGCCACACUGGGACUGAGACACGGCCCAGACUCCUACGGGAGGCAGCAGUAGGGAAUCUUCCGCAAUGGACGAAAGUCUGACGGAGCAACGCCGCGUGAGUGAUGAAGGCUUUCGGGUCGUAAAACUCUGUUGUUAGGGAAGAACAAGUGCUAGUUGAAUAAGCUGGCACCUUGACGGUACCUAACCAGAAAGCCACGGCUAACUACGUGCCAGCAGCCGCGGUAAUACGUAGGUGGCAAGCGUUGUCCGGAAUUAUUGGGCGUAAAGCGCGCGCAGGCGGUUUCUUAAGUCUGAUGUGAAAGCCCACGGCUCAACCGUGGAGGGUCAUUGGAAACUGGGGAACUUGAGUGCAGAAGAGGAGAGUGGAAUUCCACGUGUAGCGGUGAAAUGCGUAGAGAUGUGGAGGAACACCAGUGGCGAAGGCGACUCUCUGGUCUGUAACUGACGCUGAGGCGCGAAAGCAUGGGGAGCGAACAGGAUUAGAUACCCUGGUAGU